AAGUCGUAACAAGGUCUCCGUUGGUGAACCAGCGGAGGGAUCAUUACCGAGUAUCUACUCAUAACCCUUUGUGAACCAAAUUGUUGCUUCGGCGGCUCGUCCGCGAGCCCGCCGGUACAUCAGUCUCUUUAUUUUUACCAACGAUACUUCUGAGUGUUCUUAGCGAACUAUUAAAACUUUUAACAACGGAUCUCCUGGCUCUAGCAUCGAUGAAGAACGCAGCGAAACGCGAUAUGUAGUGUGAAUUGCAGAAUUCAGUGAAUCAUCGAAUCUUUGAACGCACAUGGCGCCUUCCAGUAUCCUGGGAGGCAUGCCUGUCCGAGCGUCGUUUCAACCCUCGAGCCCCAGUGGCCCGGUGUUGGGGAUCUACGUCUGUAGGCCCUUAAAAUCAGUGGCGGACCCGCGUGGCCCUUCCUUGCGUAGUAAUUUUCGCUCGCAUCGGAGUCCCGCAGGCACCAGCCUCUAAACCCCCUACAAGCCCGCCUCGUGCGGCAACGGUUGACCUCGGAUCAGGUAGGAAUACCCGCUGAACUUAAGCAUAUCAAUAAGCGGAGGAAAAGAAACCAACAGGGAUUGCCUUAGUAACGGCGAGUGAAGCGGCAACAGCUCAAAUUUGAAAUCUGGCUCCUUCGGGGCCCGAGUUGUAAUUUGCAGAGGAUGCUUCGGGUUUGGGUUCCUUCCGAGUUCCCUGGAACGGGACGCCAUAGAGGGUGAGAGCCCCGUCUGGUAGGAAACCCAGCCCAUGUGAAGCUCCCUCGAC
Molecule: small RNA, 760 nt
Filed under: uncultured Verticillium
Lineage: Eukaryota; Fungi; Ascomycota; Sordariomycetes; Hypocreales
Description: eukaryotic LSU rRNA
Rfam family: Eukaryotic large subunit ribosomal RNA (bases 500-760)
Source: RNAcentral